CUGGCUGAUAGCUCCAGAAGAUAGGGAGGCCCUAUACACAGAAACUGGUUUUGUUUUGGUUUGGUUUUUUGUUUUUUUUGGUCUGAACGAACAGGGUCUUCACACCAUAAGAUGAAGUUGUUAUGGUAUGCAGUGACCUUUAUUUGUUUUAAUCGUUGCUGCUUUCCAUAGAAGAUGUAAAAUUCUAAAAUUCAACAUUUGUUCAGUUAAGUUAAUUUAUAGGUAAUAUAAAGAGCAAA
Pelobates cultripes (western spadefoot toad) is the source of this 239-nucleotide non-coding RNA. The record is from the annotation of a GenBank genome assembly. NCBI's taxonomy places the organism in Eukaryota, Metazoa, Chordata, Amphibia, Anura, Pelobatidae.